AACGAACGCUGGCGGCAUGCCUAACACAUGCAAGUCGAACGAGACCUUCGGGUAUCGUGGCGCACGGGUGCGUAACGCGUGGGAACCUGCCCUUAUGUUCGGAAGAACUCCCCGAAAGGGGUGAUCAUACCGGAUAAUGUCUUCGUACCAAAGAUUUAUCGGCUUUGGAUGGGCCCGCGUCGGAUUAGCUGGUUGGUAGGGUAACAGCCUACCAAGGCGACUAUCCAUAGCUGGUCUGAGGGGAUGAUCCGCCAUACUGGGACUGAGAGCAGGCGCAGACUCUGACGGGUGGGAGCAGGGGGGAAUAUGCGACGAUGGGCGAAAGCAGGAGGCAGCAAUGCCGCGAGAGUGAUGAAGGCGGUAGGGUUGUAAAGCUCUUUUACUCGGGAUGAGAAUGACAGUACCGGGAGAAUAAGCCCCGGCUAACUCCGU
RNAcentral lists this ribosomal RNA (432 nucleotides) under uncultured bacterium. RNAcentral's name for it is "partial 16S ribosomal RNA". It matches the Rfam family "Bacterial small subunit ribosomal RNA", at positions 29 to 506 of the family's 1533-position model. The record is from RNAcentral.